ACGGGGCGGACGGCCCGAGGGGAGCCGGGCUCACAGCGCGGGGUUUGGGCACAGCGGGCAGGAACUGGAGAGAGCUGCCCUUAGACGGGACGGACUGCAGAGGAGGCGGCUUCCCUGCAGGGCGGUGCUCGGAGGAAGUAGCACCAAGUCAGAGGAAGCUGUGACUCAGAGGCCGAUGAAUCACUCCUGCUCUGGAUUACACGGCUUUUUUCCUCUUUCUGGGCCUCCAGCACGGACUGAGGAGCCCAAUGUCUCAUUGGAGCACGUUCUGCCAGGAAGGUGCUGGUGGAGGAAGGGUACCUUGCAAUGGGGCUUCAGCCCUCGAGUCACACAAUUGUGGAACCAUUCAGGUUGGAGAAGACCUCUCAGAUCCCUAGUCCAACCCC
This is a long non-coding RNA of Centrocercus urophasianus (Greater sage-grouse), 386 nucleotides long. RefSeq lists it as uncharacterized. The record is from RefSeq and is a predicted model, not a curated record. The transcript is spliced from 3 exons. Lineage: Eukaryota; Metazoa; Chordata; Aves; Galliformes; Phasianidae.